AAACAAGGUCCAUCGUCAAGGUAGAAUGGCAGAACUCCAGAGCAGCCCUCCUCUGCUGGGUGUAGGUCCUUACUUGCAUCAGGAAGGGACCCACCUUUUCCGACCACAGGUGCUCAGUGAAAGACCUCAUCAACCAAGAACUUGACUACGGAAGCCUCUCAUGGUGAAUUCUAGCUGAUUUUAGAUCUGAGCCUGCAAUUUUCAAAUUAAGUCAAUAGGUUCUGUGGGUGUAUUCCAGUUAAAAUAGCAACACCGGCUAAUAUUACCAACCUGCAGCUGCAAGCAUCACCUGUAUUUGGAUUGGGGAAGAAAGGACAACCAAGAAGGGAACAGGAAGUGCCUAGAACAUAAAGUGAGGUGAGCCCACACGUGGGAAUGGACUGAGGACCCUGCUUGCUGAGUGGAAAAGCAUUAAAGAAUCAGGAGGUCCCUCAGCCAGGACAGGACAUCGCCAGAAGGUUGACAAAUUAGAUACUGGCAAAUUCAUCUCAAGUGUUCUACAAAAGAAGCCAAGUGCCUACAAAUUUACGCUGGUGUCUUGGUUUAAUUCUCCAAGUGCCUCAUCAAGACAUCUCAAGGACUGUGUGUGCAUCAGGGUGUUUGUCACAUACCAUCUAAGCACUAACUGUUUUGCUUCAAAUCAGCUGUAACACUUUCUGGUUAGCCUGGACAAGCUGCCCCCAAUGCAAAGGAUAGUCCACAGGCAACAAAAAAUUGUCCCAAGACCCAAGGAACUCCAAAUAUUU
Molecule: long non-coding RNA, 746 nt
Filed under: Chinchilla lanigera (long-tailed chinchilla)
Lineage: Eukaryota; Metazoa; Chordata; Mammalia; Rodentia; Chinchillidae
Description: lncRNA (ENSCLAG00000025718.1)
Source: RNAcentral